This 778-nucleotide ribosomal RNA is filed under the name Enterobacter sp. RNAcentral describes it as "bacterial SSU rRNA". It matches the Rfam family "Bacterial small subunit ribosomal RNA", at positions 729 to 1502 of the family's 1533-position model. Lineage: Bacteria; Pseudomonadati; Pseudomonadota; Gammaproteobacteria; Enterobacterales; Enterobacteriaceae. The record is from RNAcentral.
UGGACCAAAGACUGACGCUCAGGUGCGAAAGCGUGGGGAGCAAACAGGGAUUUAGAUACCCUGGUAGUCCACGCCGUAAACGAUGUCGACUUGGAGGUUUGUGCCUUUGAGGCCGUGGCUUCCGGAGCUAACGCGUUUAAGUCGACCGCCUGGGGAGUACGGCCGCAAGGUUAAAACUCAAAUGAAUUGACGGGGGCCCGCACAAGCGGUGGAGCAUGUGGUUAAUUCGAUGCAACGCGAAGAACCUUACCUACUCUUGACAUCCAGAGAACUUUAGCAGAGAUGCUUUGGUGCCUUCGGGAACUCUGAGACAGGUGCUGCAUGGCUGUCGUCAGCUCGUGUUGUGAAAUGUUGGGUUAAGUCCCGCAACGAGCGCAACCCUUAUCCUUUGUUGCCAGCGGUUCGGCCGGGAACUCAAAGGAGACUGCCAGUGAUAAACUGGAGGAAGGUGGGGAUGACGUCAAGUCAUCAUGGCCCUUACGAGUAGGGCUACACACGUGCUACAAUGGCGCAUACAAAGAGAAGCGACCUCGCGAGAGCAAGCGGACCUCAUAAAGUGCGUCGUAGUCCGGAUUGGAGUCUGCAACUCGACUCCAUGAAGUCGGAAUCGCUAGUAAUCGUAGAUCAGAAUGCUACGGUGAAUACGUUCCCGGGCCUUGUACACACCGCCCGUCACACCAUGGGAGUGGGUUGCAAAAGAAGUAGGUAGCUUAACCUUCGGGAGGGCGCUUACCACUUUGUGAUUCAUGACUGGGGUGAAGUCGUAACAAGGUAACCA